AAACUUGACCGAUCAAAUUUCAUUUUUCCCAAAAUGUUGGGUCAUUCGUAUGAAAAUUUCCCGUCCUAAUUUUAUCUUAUUGACAUUUUGAAAAAAUUUCAUAUUUUGACGAUCAGCUACCGGAAGAUUAUCAAUUUUGGAGGGGAGAGUCGUUUUCAAUCUCCCUUUCUGAUUUCAACGCAACAACCAAUUUCUCCUACUGUUCAAUGAUUCUACAAUUCUGAAAUCCAAAAAUUUUUCCUCGGAACUUCAAACGAGUUCGCUCGCCACUUCCAUGGUUUUUGAGAUCUGGUAGCUUAUCUCAUCAUUCUUAACUUACCUCUUUCAAAGUUCAAGAUGUGCCAUGAUAACUUCCAAGUUCAUUCUUUAGAAGAGUCAACGACAGCUGAAGAUAGUCUCCUUAUAUAUUGCAAACCAGUUGAACUAUACAAUAUUCUUCAUCUUCGUUCCCUUAACAAUCCUUCUUUUCUUCGACGUUGUUUGUAUUACAAGUUACAAGCUAGGCGAAAAGAGAGGGUGAGCACUGGAGUUGUAAUUUUCAACUAUAGGGACUACAACAACAUAGUUCGAAAAACUGAAGUAACUGAAGACUUCUCAUGUCCAUUUUGUUUGAUGCUAUGCGCAAGCUUUAAGGGUUUGCGCUACCACUUAUGCUCUUCCCAUGAUAUGUUCAACUUCGAAUACUGGGUGACUGAAGAAUAUCAGGCAGUGAAUGUCUCUGUGAAAAUUGAUGUCUUUAGAUCUGAGGAACAUUUGACUGUAGCAGAUGGAGUGGACCCACAACUACAAACUUUCUUCUUCUGCACAAGACCACGAAAGCGCAAGUUAAAGAACUCUAUUCAGAAUGGGAAGUAUGUGCAGUUCUUGGAGAUGGACUCACCUGGACCUGCCACAGAAGGCGUGCACAAGGGAUUUGUAGGGCAUAACACUGAUGGUGUAUCCUGUGAAAAAGAGGGGAGCCAUUCAUUCCCCAUUGAGACUUAUUUGCAGAAUGCACAACAAGACGGAGAAAAUAUUGGCCCUGAUUGUCCUUCCUCUAUGGAGUGCAUUGAACGUGUUGCAUCCAGCUCAAAUAUUCCAGGUGUCCCAAUGGCUAUCAAUCAAUCUUCUACAGGUCCUGAAUGUUAUAAAGUACUGUCUGGAAGUGAUCAUUUACAACCAACCAAAGGAAGGAAGUUAACGGUCGAACGAGACCCUAGAAACCGCAUGCUCUUGCAGAAACGGCAGUUUUAUCACUCUCACAGGGUUCAGCCUAUGGCUGUAGAUAAAGUACUAUCUGACAAAGAUAGUGAGGACGAAGUAGAUGAUGACAUUGCAGAUUUUGAAGAUCGAAGGAUGCUCGAUGAUUUCGUGGAUGUCACCAAAGAUGAAAAGCGGCUUAUGCAUCUAUGGAACUCCUUUGUUAGGAAGCAGAGGGUGCUAGCUGAUGGUCACGUGCCUUGGGCAUGCGAAGCAUUCUCAAAACUUCACGGGAAAGAGCUUAUCUCAUCUCCGCCUCUCUUUUGUUGGAUAUUUUUGCACAAGGGCCUAUCAAUAAAGGCGAUAACUGAUUUAGGGCUCAUUUUGAAGCUUUAUAAAAGUUGACCUUUUUUGCUUAGCUGCACCAUGAUUGUUAUCAGAGCUUGAAACAAGACAUGAUGACAGUAGGUGAAAUCUCCUCGAGCAAGCUUCCAGAGGCUAUGCUUGGGUUCAAACAAGACUUCCUGUUGAAGGAACUACCAAAUUUUUUACCACAUUGAAGGAUCUGUGGAAGACAUGCAGUAAGUUCUUUACGUCACUGGUAAUUCUAGGAAAAAGAACAUUUAAGAUACAAGCCCCUGCUUGAAUUGUACAUUGGAAUGAGAAUGGAGAUCAGUGUAAUUGGAGGCAGUGUACAGAGAGAAGUCGAUUUAAAUUUGGACAGCAAAAUUUCUAACAUGACUGAUUCUGACACUUGUUCGGCGAGCUCUGGAAGAGUGCUGAAUAAGGAGAAUGGUUCCAAGGACGAAGAAUGACAACCAAGAACAUCGAAUCGUCCUAUCAUGGUGUUGGAGAUUAUUCAUGAUCAAGCUCUGGAAUCAUGGCCUUCUUGAUGCCUCUACCAUGAACAACUGUAAUUUAACUCUUGAAGGAUUCAAAGAUGAGAGUUCGAAUGCGACGAAAAAUUGUAGAAGAGAUGACG
Non-coding RNA from Benincasa hispida (wax gourd), 2161 nucleotides. The record is from RefSeq and is a predicted model, not a curated record. NCBI's taxonomy places the organism in Eukaryota, Viridiplantae, Streptophyta, Magnoliopsida, Cucurbitales, Cucurbitaceae.